This 406-nucleotide ribosomal RNA is filed under the name uncultured bacterium. Its description in RNAcentral is "partial 16S ribosomal RNA". It matches the Rfam family "Bacterial small subunit ribosomal RNA", at positions 29 to 526 of the family's 1533-position model. The record is from RNAcentral.
AUUGAACGCUGGCGGCAGGCCUAACACAUGCAAGUCGAGCGAGCGGCGGACGGGUGAGUAAAGUCUGGGAAACUGUCUGAUGGAGGGGGAUAACAACUGGAAACGGUAUCUAUUACCGCAUACCAUCAGAUGUGCACAGAUGGGAGUAGCUAGUAGUGGGGGUAACGGCUCACCAAGGCGACGAUACCUAUCUGGGCUGAGCGGAUGACCAGCCACACUGGAACUGAGACAGGGUCCAGACGCCUACGGGAGUCAGCAGUGGGGAAUAUUGCACAAUGGGCGCAAGCCUGAGGCAGCCAUGCCGCGUGAAUGAAGAAGGCCUUCGGGUUGUAAAGCACUUGCAGCGGGGAGGCGUUACCCGCAGAAGAAGCACCGGCUAACUCCGUGCCAGCAGCCGCGGUAAUUC